AGGGAUAUAACUCAGUGGUAGAGUGUCACCUUGACAUGGUGAAAGUCAUCAGUUCAGGCCUUAUUAUCCCUA
Molecule: transfer RNA, 72 nt
Filed under: Datura stramonium (jimsonweed)
Lineage: Eukaryota; Viridiplantae; Streptophyta; Magnoliopsida; Solanales; Solanaceae
Description: tRNA-Val
Rfam family: tRNA
About the family: Transfer RNA (tRNA) molecules are approximately 80 nucleotides in length. Their secondary structure includes four short double-helical elements and three loops (D, anti-codon, and T loops).
Source: RNAcentral